CCUACGGGUGGCAGCAGUGGGGGAUAUUGCACAAUGGAGGAAACUCUGAUGCAGCGACGCCGCGUGAGGGAAGACGGUCUUCGUAUUGUAAACCUCUGUCUUUGGGGAAGAAAAUGACGGUACCCAAAGAGGAAGCUCCGGCUAACUACGUGCCAGCAGCCGCGGUAAUACGUAGGGAGCGAGCGUUGUCCGGAAUUACUGGGUGUAAAGGGAGCGCAGGCGGGAAGCCAAGUCAGCUGUGAAAACUACGGGCUUAACUUGUAGACUGCAGUUGAAACUGGUUUUCUUGAGUGAAGUAGAGGUUGGCGGAAUUCCGAGUGUAGCGGUGAAAUGCGUAGAUAUUCGGAGGAACACCGGUGGCGAAGGCGGCCAACUGGGCUUUAACUGACGCUGAGGCUCGAAAGUGUGGGGAGCAAACAGGAUUAGAUACCCCAGUAGUC
Molecule: ribosomal RNA, 440 nt
Filed under: uncultured bacterium
Lineage: Bacteria
Description: partial 16S ribosomal RNA
Rfam family: Bacterial small subunit ribosomal RNA
Source: RNAcentral